This 1820-nucleotide ribosomal RNA is filed under the name Staphylococcus aureus. Its description in RNAcentral is "partial 23S ribosomal RNA". It matches the Rfam family "Bacterial large subunit ribosomal RNA", at positions 231 to 2051 of the family's 2925-position model. Lineage: Bacteria; Bacillati; Bacillota; Bacilli; Caryophanales; Staphylococcaceae. The record is from RNAcentral.
UCGAUUCCCUUAGUAGCGGCGAGCGAAACGGGAAGAGCCCAAACCAACAAGCUUGCUUGUUGGGGUUGUAGGACACUCUAUACGGAGUUACAAAGGACGACAUUAGACGAAUCAUCUGGAAAGAUGAAUCAAAGAAGGUAAUAAUCCUGUAGUCGAAAAUGUUGUCUCUCUUGAGUGGAUCCUGAGUACGACGGAGCACGUGAAAUUCCGUCGGAAUCUGGGAGGACCAUCUCCUAAGGCUAAAUACUCUCUAGUGACCGAUAGUGAACCAGUACCGUGAGGGAAAGGUGAAAAGCACCCCGGAAGGGGAGUGAAAUAGAACCUGAAACCGUGUGCUUACAAGUAGUCAGAGCCCGUUAAUGGGUGAUGGCGUGCCUUUUGUAGAAUGAACCGGCGAGUUACGAUUUGAUGCAAGGUUAAGCAGUAAAUGUGGAGCCGUAGCGAAAGCGAGUCUGAAUAGGGCGUUUAGUAUUUGGUCGUAGACCCGAAACCAGGUGAUCUACCCUUGGUCAGGUUGAAGUUCAGGUAACACUGAAUGGAGGACCGAACCGACUUACGUUGAAAAGUGAGCGGAUGAACUGAGGGUAGCGGAGAAAUUCCAAUCGAACCUGGAGAUAGCUGGUUCUCUCCGAAAUAGCUUUAGGGCUAGCCUCAAGUGAUGAUUAUUGGAGGUAGAGCACUGUUUGGACGAGGGGCCCCUCUCGGGUUACCGAAUUCAGACAAACUCCGAAUGCCAAUUAAUUUAACUUGGGAGUCAGAACAUGGGUGAUAAGGUCCGUGUUCGAAAGGGAAACAGCCCAGACCACCAGCUAAGGUCCCAAAAUAUAUGUUAAGUGGAAAAGGAUGUGGCGUUGCCCAGACAACUAGGAUGUUGGCUUAGAAGCAGCCAUCAUUUAAAGAGUGCGUAAUAGCUCACUAGUCGAGUGACACUGCGCCGAAAAUGUACCGGGGCUAAACAUAUUACCGAAGCUGUGGAUUGUCCUUUGGACAAUGGUAGGAGAGCGUUCUAAGGGCGUUGAAGCAUGAUCGUAAGGACAUGUGGAGCGCUUAGAAGUGAGAAUGCCGGUGUGAGUAGCGAAAGACGGGUGAGAAUCCCGUCCACCGAUUGACUAAGGUUUCCAGAGGAAGGCUCGUCCGCUCUGGGUUAGUCGGGUCCUAAGCUGAGGCCGACAGGCGUAGGCGAUGGAUAACAGGUUGAUAUUCCUGUACCACCUAUAAUCGUUUUAAUCGAUGGGGGGACGCAGUAGGAUAGGCGAAGCGUGCGAUUGGAUUGCACGUCUAAGCAGUAAGGCUGAGUAUUAGGCAAAUCCGGUACUCGUUAAGGCUGAGCUGUGAUGGGGAGAAGACAUUGUGUCUUCGAGUCGUUGAUUUCACACUGCCGAGAAAAGCCUCUAGAUAGAAAAUAGGUGCCCGUACCGCAAACCGACACAGGUAGUCAAGAUGAGAAUUCUAAGGUGAGCGAGCGAACUCUCGUUAAGGAACUCGGCAAAAUGACCCCGUAACUUCGGGAGAAGGGGUGCUCUUUAGGGUUAACGCCCAGAAGAGCCGCAGUGAAUAGGCCCAAGCGACUGUUUAUCAAAAACACAGGUCUCUGCUAAACCGUAAGGUGAUGUAUAGGGGCUGACGCCUGCCCGGUGCUGGAAGGUUAAGAGGAGUGGUUAGCUUCUGCGAAGCUACGAAUCGAAGCCCCAGUAAACGGCGGCCGUAACUAUAACGGUCCUAAGGUAGCGAAAUUCCUUGUCGGGUAAGUUCCGACCCGCACGAAAGGCGUAACGAUUUGGGCACUGUCUCAACGAGAGACUCGGUGAAAUCAUAGUACC